RNAcentral lists this ribosomal RNA (795 nucleotides) under Aerococcus sp. C45-PCA-T3P21. RNAcentral's name for it is "bacterial SSU rRNA". It matches the Rfam family "Bacterial small subunit ribosomal RNA", at positions 70 to 847 of the family's 1533-position model. The record is from RNAcentral. Lineage: Bacteria; Bacillati; Bacillota; Bacilli; Lactobacillales; Aerococcaceae.
CAGAUGAAGUGCUUGCACUUCUGACGUUAGCGGCGAACGGGUGAGUAACACGUAAGGAAUCUACCUAUAAGCGGGGGAUAACAUUCGGAAACGGGUGCUAAUACCGCAUAAUAUCUUCUUCCGCAUGGAAGAAGAUUGAAAGACGGCUCUGCUGUCACUUAUAGAUGACCUUGCGGUGCAUUAGUUAGUUGGUGGGGUAACGGCCUACCAAGACGAUGAUGCAUAGCCGACCUGAGAGGGUGAUCGGCCACAUUGGGACUGAGACACGGCCCAAACUCCUACGGGAGGCAGCAGUAGGGAAUCUUCCGCAAUGGGCGAAAGCCUGACGGAGCAAUGCCGCGUGAGUGAAGAAGGCCUUCGGGUCGUAAAACUCUGUUAUAAGAGAAGAACAAAUUGUAGAGUAACUGCUACAGUCUUGACGGUAUCUUAUCAGAAAGCCACGGCUAACUACGUGCCAGCAGCCGCGGUAAUACGUAGGUGGCAAGCGUUGUCCGGAUUUAUUGGGCGUAAAGGGAGCGCAGGUGGUUUCUUAAGUCUGAUGUGAAAGCCCACGGCUUAACCGUGGAGGGUCAUUGGAAACUGGGAAACUUGAGUACAGAAGAGGAAUGUGGAACUCCAUGUGUAGCGGUGGAAUGCGUAGAUAUAUGGAAGAACACCAGUGGCGAAGGCGACAUUCUGGUCUGUUACUGACACUGAGGCUCGAAAGCGUGGGGAGCAAACAGGAUUAGAUACCCUGGUAGUCCACGCCGUAAACGAUGAGUGCUACGUGUUGGAGGGUUUCCGCCCUUCAGUGCC